This 408-nucleotide ribosomal RNA is filed under the name bacterium enrichment culture clone ALO1_GLFRUDD03HGMMK. RNAcentral's name for it is "bacterial SSU rRNA". It matches the Rfam family "Bacterial small subunit ribosomal RNA", at positions 9 to 417 of the family's 1533-position model. The record is from RNAcentral.
GAGUUUGAUCCUGGCUCAGAUUGAACGCUGGCGGCAUGCCUUACACAUGCAAGUCGGACGGCAGCACGGGAGCUUGCUCCUGGUGGCGAGUGGCGAACGGGUGAGUAAUGCAUCGGAACGUAUCCUGGAGUGGGGGAUAACGUAGCGAAAGUUACGCUAAUACCGCAUAUUCUGUGAGCAGGGAAGCGGGGGACCUUCGGGCCUCGCGCUCUUGGAGCGGCCGAUGUCGGAUUAGCUAGUUGGUGAGGCAAAGGCUCACCAAGGCGACGAUCCGUAGCAGGUCUGAGAGGAUGAUCUGCCACACUGGAACUGAGACACGGUCCAGACUCCUACGGGAGGCAGCAGUGGGGAAUUUUGGACAAUGGGGGCAACCCUGAUCCAGCCAUGCCGCGUGAGUGAAGAAGGCCU